GAUGAACGCUGGCGGCGUGCCUAAUACAUGCAAGUCGAGCGAACAGACGAGGAGCUUGCUCCUCUGACGUUAGCGGCGGACGGGUGAGUAACACGUGGAUAACCUACCUAUAAGACUGGGAUAACUUCGGGAAACCGGAGCUAAUACCGGAUAAUAUAUUGAACCGCAUGGUUCAAUAGUGAAAGACGGCUUUGCUGUCACUUAUAGAUGGAUCCGCGCCGGAUUAGCUAGUUGGUAAGGUAACGGCUUACCAAGGCAACGAUGCGUAGCCGACCUGAGAGGGUGAUCGGCCACACUGGAACUGAGACACGGUCCAGACUCCUACGGGAGGCAGCAGUAGGGAAUCUUCCGCAAUGGGCGAAAGCUUGACGGAGCAACGCCGCGUGAGUGAUGAAGGUCUUCGGAUCGUAAAACUCUGUUGUUGGGGAAGAACAAAUGUGUAAGUAACUAUGCACGUCUUGACGGUACCUAAUCAGAAAGCCACGGCUAACUACGUG
Molecule: ribosomal RNA, 497 nt
Filed under: uncultured bacterium
Lineage: Bacteria
Description: partial 16S ribosomal RNA
Rfam family: Bacterial small subunit ribosomal RNA
Source: RNAcentral